GAGUUUGAUCCUGGCUCAGGUUGAACGCUGGCGGCAUGCCUUACACAUGCAAGUCGAACGGCAGCAUGAUCUAGCUUGCUAGAUUGAUGGCGAGUGGCGAACGGGUGAGUAAUACAUCGGAACGUGCCCUGUAGUGGGGGAUAACUAGUCGAAAGAUUAGCUAAUACCGCAUACGACCUGAGGGUGAAAGUGGGGGACCGCAAGGCCUCAUGCUAUAGGAGCGGCCGAUGUCUGAUUAGCUAGUUGGUGGGGUAAAGGCCCACCAAGGCGACGAUCAGUAGCUGGUCUGAGAGGACGAUCAGCCACACUGGGACUGAGACACGGCCCAGACUCCUACGGGAGGCAGCAGUGGGGAAUUUUGGACAAUGGGCGAAAGCCUGAUCCAGCAAUGCCGCGUGUGUGAAGAAGGCCUCGGUUGUAAG
RNAcentral lists this ribosomal RNA (422 nucleotides) under uncultured microorganism. RNAcentral describes it as "bacterial SSU rRNA". It matches the Rfam family "Bacterial small subunit ribosomal RNA", at positions 9 to 429 of the family's 1533-position model. The record is from RNAcentral.